UGCAGUUCUCAGGUGAAGCACCCCGGAAUCGGGCUCCCUCCUCUCUGAUUCCAGUUGUGUCACCUGAGAACACCC
Molecule: non-coding RNA, 75 nt
Organism: Myotis brandtii (Brandt's bat)
Lineage: Eukaryota; Metazoa; Chordata; Mammalia; Chiroptera; Vespertilionidae
Source: Rfam